RNAcentral lists this transfer RNA (70 nucleotides) under Dreissena polymorpha. It matches the Rfam family "tRNA". From Rfam's summary of the family: Transfer RNA (tRNA) molecules are approximately 80 nucleotides in length. Their secondary structure includes four short double-helical elements and three loops (D, anti-codon, and T loops). Lineage: Eukaryota; Metazoa; Mollusca; Bivalvia; Myida; Dreissenidae. The record is from Rfam by way of RNAcentral.
GCCUAAGCGCAGUCGGUAGAGCAUCAGACUUUUAAUCUGAGGGUCGGCGGUUCGAGUCCGCCGUUGGGCG